RNAcentral lists this small RNA (294 nucleotides) under uncultured Citrobacter sp. Its description in RNAcentral is "ryfA RNA". It matches the Rfam family "ryfA RNA". Rfam says of the family: This family consists of a number of bacterial RNA genes of 305 bases in length. The ryfA RNA gene is present in E. coli, Shigella flexneri and Salmonella species where it is found between the ydaN and dbpA genes. Lineage: Bacteria; Pseudomonadati; Pseudomonadota; Gammaproteobacteria; Enterobacterales; Enterobacteriaceae. The record is from RNAcentral.
CGGCCCUUUCCGCCGCUUCGCAAACGGGCACUGGCUUCAGGAAAGGAUGUCCCAUGGCCGUAAAUGUAAGUGCCCCCAGCACUUGCUGUCACGGCAUUAUCGCCAGUGGUGCUGUCGUGAAGCGGUCUUCGCAUGGACCGCACAAUGAAGAUACGGUACGUCUGUAUCGUGCUUCUUGUUUCUGGCGUGUUGUGCCUUCACGCAGACCAGAGUUACUUCGGUAAUUCUGUUUUCGUAAAGACCAACGGCCAGGGCAGGUAAGCGAGGAUGCCGCCUUUCGGGGCGGCUUUCCUU